Molecule: ribosomal RNA, 408 nt
Filed under: uncultured bacterium
Lineage: Bacteria
Description: partial 16S ribosomal RNA
Rfam family: Bacterial small subunit ribosomal RNA
Source: RNAcentral
GACGAACGCUGGCGGCGUGCUUAACACAUGCAAGUCGAACGGAGUGGCGAACGUGUGAGUAACACGUGGGUGACCUGCCCUGCACUUCGGGAUAAGCCUGGGAAACUGGGUCUAAUACCGGAUAGUGUGGGAUGGGCCCGCGGCCUAUCAGCUUGUUGGGGGGGUAAUGGCCUACCAAGGCGGCGACGGAUAGCCGGCCUGAGAGGGUGGACGGCCACAAUGGGACUGAGGCACGGCCCAGAGUCCUACGGGAGGCAGCGGGGGGGAGUAUUGCACAGUGGGGGGGAGCCUGAUGCAGGGACGCCGGGUGGGGGAUGACGGCCUUCGGGUUGGAAACUCCUUUCACCAGAGACGCGGUAGAUGGAGAAGAAGCACCGGCUAACUACGUGCCAGCAGCCGCGGUAAUUC